CCUACGGGAGGCUGCAGUGGGGAAUAUUGGGCAAUGGGCGCAAGCCUGACCCAGCAACGCCGCGUGAAGGAAGAAGGCUUUCGGGUUGUACACUUCUUUUCUCAGGGACGAAGCAAGUGACGGUACCUGAGGAAUAAGCCACGUCUAACUACGUGCCAGCAGCCGCGGUAAUACGUAGGUGGCAAGCGUUAUCCGGAUUUACUGGGUGUAAAGGGCGGGUAGGCGGGACUGCAAGUCAGAUGUGAAAACCACGGGCUCAACCUGGUGCCUGCAUUUGAAACUGUAGUUCUUGAGUACUGGAGAGGCAGACGGAAUUCCUAGUGUAGCGGUGAAAUGCGUAGAUAUUAGGAGGAACACCAGUGGCGAAGGCGGUCUGCUGGACAGCAACUGACGCUGAGGCGCGAAAGCGUGGGGAGCAAACAGGAUUAGAGACCCGAGUAGUC
This 443-nucleotide ribosomal RNA is filed under the name uncultured bacterium. RNAcentral describes it as "partial 16S ribosomal RNA". It matches the Rfam family "Bacterial small subunit ribosomal RNA", at positions 338 to 795 of the family's 1533-position model. The record is from RNAcentral.